Carassius auratus (goldfish) is the source of this 1645-nucleotide long non-coding RNA. NCBI's taxonomy places the organism in Eukaryota, Metazoa, Chordata, Actinopteri, Cypriniformes, Cyprinidae. The record is from Ensembl.
AUGUGUUUUUGUCUUUGUUCUAGAAAAAAAAACACUUUAGAAAGUUCUGAUGACGAAACAGACAUUGAGAUGAAGCGACAAUAUGAAAAAGCAAAAGGACAAAAAAAAGUUGCAAAAGGGAGGAUCCUCACUCAGCUGAAGGAUACACUGAGGAAACCACUCCACUCCACUCCAUGCAGAACCAAUCCAUUACAUAGUGAGGAGGAAGUUGAAUCCGAAACGCUGGACACAAACGUGGAUUUGUUCAAUUACCCAGGGAAUUCUCAAUCAACCAAACAAAAAAAGGUUGGAAAGGAGAGGGUCCUCACUCAGCUGAAGGAUACACUGAGGAAACCACUCCACUCUGAUCCACGCAGAACCAAUCCGUUACAUAGUGAGGAGGAAGUUCAAGCCGAAACCGUGGACACAAAUGUGGAUUUGUUCGAUUACCCAGAGAAUUUUCAAUCAACCGAUACCUUAGAUACUGCUGAGGCAAGUGGAGAGAGCGUGGAACAGCCAUUAUUUGUCAGAGGUGAAGUGUUGAAAGCUUUGAAAGAAAUUCCCACCUUAGUGCAGUGUGUCAAGGAACUAAUAUCCUCAAUGAACAGAGGGAUCGAUACAGCAAGCACAAGCUCAGGGUCCUCCAGCUCAGCCCAAGAGAUGGUAUGUUAUUGUAUGUGUUUUGUGAAAUACUAAUCAUUCAAAACAAAAAUUUUAACUCUUAAACUCUGCAGACCCGGUACCGGGUCCGAAAAUAGCAUGCCAGAUGUUUGUGUCUCAUUUGCAUAUCCUUCCUUAUAUGGCAUUUGCCCAGAAAUGGGUUCAUUUGAAAGCUUAGAGUGCUUUCUUUACAAAGAAUACCAUUAAUUGGGGUUUUAUGAUACAUAAAGUAGUCAAAUUAAGCUAAGAAAUAUAUUCCCCCCCCCAUAAAUUUCCAUCUAACGAUUGCGAAUACGUUUUCGUAAGAAUGUGUAUUUAAAAUAUUUUUCACAAAACAGUCAAGUCAUAUAUCACAAGAAAGCUCUCAUUCUCAGGAAUCUGAUGAUGUAGAUCAUUUUAUUGUGUGACAAUCACAGAUCGAAUGAUCUUCAACAGAAUCGCGAUGUAAAAUUUCUCACCUUAUUAUUUAUACAUUUUGCACCGCUUCAGUCAGCCGCAAACAGCCACGCAUACCUAUAUACUCGAUAUAAUCUUUUAGAUUAGAAUCUCUUCUUUCAAACAAGACCAUUUUUACGUUUCUGCGUGCUUCCAUUGCUGAGAUAUAAAGCGUUUUGUACAAGUGCGCAAAAGCGCUCCAAGGGCUGUAUUAUUGAAAAGAUCUUCAAGUCAUAUAGACGGGUCUAAAUGCCUUUCUUCUGCUAUAGACGUCUGUUUUCUUUUGUGAAGCGCUAUUUGUCCUGAUAGGUGCAAUUCACAAGUCGUUCCCUCCAAUCGAAGCUGUGAUUCAGCACCGCGGGGGUGCUGGAACUGGACAGCGACUGCCCACUCCUUUUCCGCUUGUGUGACGCAAUGAUGUCUGGGAAACUGAGUUUUUUGCUGCUUCUAAACAAAGGCCACGCGAGGCAAAACUACUAAUGGCCGAAGCUCCGGAUUUAUAAUGCAUAAUAUUCAUAAAACAAGUUCUGGGUGGCCACCUUCGCCGUGGAGAGGUCAGGAUGCGCAUCUG